Molecule: small RNA, 29 nt
Filed under: Bombyx mori (domestic silkworm)
Lineage: Eukaryota; Metazoa; Arthropoda; Insecta; Lepidoptera; Bombycidae
Description: piRNA piR-bmo-1985083
Source: RNAcentral
UCUGAAACGUUGGCCGUCUCGGUACGGCA